GUCGCAAAAUUAAAACUCAAAGGAAUGACGGGGACCCGCACAAGUGGUGGAGCAUGUGUUUAAUUCCGAAAAUACGCGAAGAACCUUACCUAGCCUUGACAUUGAUUGAACCACUUAGAGAUAGAGUGUUGCCUUUCGGGGAACAUGAAAACAGGUGCUGCACGGCUGUCGUCAGCUCGUGUCGUGAGAUGUUGGGUUAAGUCCCGCAACGAGCGCAACCCUCGUCCUUAGUUGCCAGCAGGUUAAGCUGGGCACUCUAAGGCUACUGCCUUCGUAAGGAGGAGGAAGGUGAGGACGACGUCAAGUCAUCAUGGCCCUUAUGGCUAGGGCUACACACGUGCUACAAUGGGGCGUACAGAGUGUUGCGAUACCGCGAGGUGGAGCUAAUCACUUAAAGCGUCUCUCAGUUCGGAUUGGAGUCUGCAACUCGACUCCAUGAAGCUGGAAUCACUAGUAAUCGUAGAUCAGCAAUGCUACGGUGAAUACGUUCCCGGGUCUUGUACUCACCGCCCGUCUC
Molecule: ribosomal RNA, 517 nt
Filed under: uncultured Campylobacterota bacterium
Lineage: Bacteria; Pseudomonadati; Campylobacterota
Description: bacterial SSU rRNA
Rfam family: Bacterial small subunit ribosomal RNA
Source: RNAcentral